RNAcentral lists this ribosomal RNA (375 nucleotides) under Triticum aestivum (bread wheat). Its description in RNAcentral is "partial small subunit ribosomal RNA". Lineage: Eukaryota; Viridiplantae; Streptophyta; Magnoliopsida; Poales; Poaceae. The record is from RNAcentral.
AUGCUCCCCUGCCGCUGCUUGGUAGCGCCGUUGCCGCUACUGGUUUUUGCUGCUGUUGCAUCCUGUCCAUGGCAACCCAGCUUCAGUCGUCAACCUGAGGUGCUCUGGGCUCAAUGCUCGAAAAAGGUUUACCUGACUAUCUCAGUCCCAGAUUCAGAAGAUGUUGUGAUCAAGACUGAACCUCAGGGCAUCUUUAGCUUCUCAGCUGUUGCUCAUGGGGAAUCUUUUAGCUUGGCUUUGGAGCUAUUCGAUUCCGUACUGCCUGAGGUAAGUAUCUGUGGUCGUCAGUUCUACAUUCUAAUACAGGGCUGGUUUCAGUUGAUGUUAAUUUCGGUUCAGUUUUUACCUCUGGGUUCUUGCUUGGAUACAUGUUAG